Piliocolobus tephrosceles (Ugandan red Colobus) is the source of this 587-nucleotide long non-coding RNA. RefSeq lists it as uncharacterized. The transcript has 2 exons. Lineage: Eukaryota; Metazoa; Chordata; Mammalia; Primates; Cercopithecidae. The record is from RefSeq and is a predicted model, not a curated record.
UGCUCUGUCAGCCAGACCGGGGCGAUCUUGGCUCACUUCAACCUCUGCCUCCUGGGAUCAAGCGAUUCUCCGGUCACAGCCUCUUGAGUUGCUGGGAUUACAGACGGGUGCCACCAUGCCCAGCUAAUUUUUGUAUUUUUAGUAGAGACCGGGUUUCGCCAUGUUGCUCAGGCUACUCUCGAACUCCUGGCCUCAGGUAAUCUGUCCGCCUCAGCCUCCCAAAGUGCUGGGAUUACAGGUGUGAGCCACCACACCCGGCUGGAACAAUCUUGAUAUUAGGGUGAACAAGUGAUUUCACAGCAUUCUCCGAAGGAGGAAACACUGGGAGUGUCCACCUGAGAAUCAACACCGUGGAUCAUUCUGGGGAGUUAAUAGUUUUGAGAUGUGUCCCAAGAUAAUUGUUAGCUUGAAUCACCACGUGGAUGGAAGGAUGCUGAUCCUAAGAGCCAGGCCAAGCCUACUGCUGUUAGAAAACAUAUUUAGAAAUCUCUUGGAUCUUCCCUGCCUGAACAUCAUAUAUUUAGUUACCUUGUGUGUUUAGAUGAAGAGUGCUUCAGAUCUCAACAAAAAAAGUAUUUUAUUUGAAA